UCGCCUGUUUAUCAAAAACAUGUCUUUUUGAUUUUUUAAAAAGUCUAGCCUGCUCAAUGAUAAAUUUAAAUAGCCGCGGUAUUUUAACUGUGCUAAGGUAGCAUAAUAAUUAGUCUUUUAAUUGAGGUUUGGAAUGAAUGGUUGGACGAGAAAUAUACUUUAUUAAUUAAAUUUUUUUUGAAUUUUAUCUUUUAGUUAAAAAGCUUAAAUAUUAGAAAGGGACGAUAAGACCCUAUAGAUCUUUAAAAUUAUUUUUAUUUUUGGGGGUUUAGUAUUUAUUUACAAAUUAAAAAUAUUUUUUUUGUUGGGGUGAUAAUUAAAAAUUUAAACUUUAAUUUAUUUAUACAGUUUUUUUUGGUUAAAUUGAUCCUUUAUUAUGGAUAAUAAGAUAAAGAUACCUUAGGGAUAACAGCGUUAUAUAAUUGGAGAGUUCUUAUUGAUAAUUAUGUUUGCGACCUCGAUGUUGGAUUAAAAUUUUACUGUGGGGUAGGUUUUACAGUUUAGGU
RNAcentral lists this ribosomal RNA (506 nucleotides) under Gergithus sp. 3 NS-2013. RNAcentral describes it as "partial 16S ribosomal RNA". It matches the Rfam family "Bacterial large subunit ribosomal RNA", at positions 1796 to 2577 of the family's 2925-position model. Lineage: Eukaryota; Metazoa; Arthropoda; Insecta; Hemiptera; Issidae. The record is from RNAcentral.